GAACUCUGGAAUCUCAGCUGGAAGCAAAUAAAAGAAAACAGAAGGAGAUCCAGGCGAUGAAGCGUCAACUAACCAAGAUUGUGGACCUGGGGGACAACUUGGAAGACGCUCUGAUCCUUGAUAUCAAAUACAGCACCAUUGGAUUGGCUCAGCAGUGGGACCAGCUCUACCAGCUUGGGUUGCGGAUGCAACACAACCUGGAGCAACAGAUCCAGGCCAAGGACACCAAAGGUGUGAGUGAAGAGACCCUAAAGGAGUUUAGCACAAUCUAUAAACACUUUGAUGAGAAUUUGACAGGGCGCCUGACUCACAAAGAGUUCCGGUCCUGCCUGAGAGGACUCAAUUACUACUUGCCCAUGGUGGAGGAGGAUGAACAUGAGCCCAAGUUUGAGAAGUUCCUGGAUGCUGUGGAUCCAGGGAGGAAGGGCUAUGUCUCACUGGAGGACUAUACUGCUUUCCUGAUUGACAAGGAGUCAGAAAACAUCAAGUCCAGUGAUGAAAUAGAGAAUGCCUUCCAAGCCCUGGCGGAGGGCAAGUCAUAUAUUACCAAAGAAGACAUGAAGCAGGUCCGAUUCUGGUUGCUUCCCCUACUACACUGUC
Molecule: small RNA, 600 nt
Filed under: Pan troglodytes (chimpanzee)
Lineage: Eukaryota; Metazoa; Chordata; Mammalia; Primates; Hominidae
Description: retained intron
Source: RNAcentral